RNAcentral lists this ribosomal RNA (359 nucleotides) under uncultured Nitrososphaera sp. Its description in RNAcentral is "bacterial SSU rRNA". It matches the Rfam family "Archaeal small subunit ribosomal RNA", at positions 96 to 457 of the family's 1478-position model. The record is from RNAcentral. Lineage: Archaea; Thermoproteati; Nitrososphaerota; Nitrososphaeria; Nitrososphaerales; Nitrososphaeraceae.
ACACGUAGUCAACAUGCCCAAAGGACGUGGAUAACCUCGGGAAACUGAGGAUAAACCGCGAUAGGCCAAGGUUUCUGGAAUGAGCCAUGGCCGAAAUCUAUAUGGCCUUUGGAUUGGACUGCGGCCGAUCAGGCUGUUGGUGAGGUAAUGGCCCACCAAACCUGUAACCGGUACGGGCUUUGAGAGAAGGAACCCGGAGAUGGGCACUGAGACAAGGUCCCAGGCCCUAUGGGGCGCAGCAGGCGCGAAACCUCUGCAAUAGGCGAAAGCCUGACAGGGUUACUCUGAGUGAUGCCCGCUAAGGGUAUCUUUUGGCACCUCUAAAAAUGGUGCAGAAUAAGGGGUGGGCAAGUCUGGUG